Molecule: ribosomal RNA, 468 nt
Filed under: uncultured bacterium
Lineage: Bacteria
Description: partial 16S ribosomal RNA
Rfam family: Bacterial small subunit ribosomal RNA
Source: RNAcentral
GACGAACGCUGGCGGCGUGCUUAACACAUGCCAGUCGAACGGAAAGGCCCUGCUUUUGUGGGGUGCUCGAGUGGCGAACGGGUGAGUAACACGUGAGUAACCUGCCCUUGACUUUGGGAUAACUUCAGGAAACUGGGGCUAAUACCGGAUAGGAGCUCCUGCUGCAUGGUGGGGGUUGGAAAGUUUCGGCGGUUGGGGAUGGACUCGCGGCUUAUCAGCUUGUUGGUGGGGUAGUGGCUUACCAAGGCUUUGACGGGUAGCCGGCCUGAGAGGGUGACCGGCCACAUUCGGACUGAGAUACGGCCCAGACUCCUACGGGAGGCAGCAGUGGGGAAUAUUGCACAAUGGGCGGAAGCCUGAUGCAGCAACGCCGCGUGCGGGAUGACGGCCUUCGGGUUGUAAACCGCUUUCGCCUGUGACGAAGCGUGAGUGACGGUAAUGGGUAAAGAAGCACCGGCUAACUACGUG